RNAcentral lists this non-coding RNA (206 nucleotides) under Bacteroidia bacterium. Lineage: Bacteria; Pseudomonadati; Bacteroidota; Bacteroidia. The record is from RNAcentral.
AUAUUUGUUGCACGUUUUGGUGUUCCGGUCGGGAGGCCUCUCGAUCGGGAUGAAAAGGGAAUCAGGUGUAAAUCCUGAACAGGACCCGCUGCUGUAAACUCAUUCAAGCGUUUUCGCAAUUCUUUUUGCCACUUUUAUCUAUUCGUAAAGGGAAGGCUGCCGGAAACAGAGUAAGUCAGAAGACCUGCCAAAAUGGAAAAUAAAUU